ACUCCUACGGGAGGCAGCAGUAGGGAAUUUUCGGCAAUGGGCGAAAGCCUGACCGAGCAAUGCCGCGUGAAUGAAGAAGGUCUUCGGAUUGUAAAAUUCUUUUAUUGGGAAAGAAAGAUAUGGCUAGGAAAUGAGCUAUAUUUGACGGUACCCAUUGAAUAAGCCCCGGCUAACUACGUGCCAGCAGCCGCGGUAAUACGUAGGGGGCGAGCGUUAUCCGGAAUUAUUGGGCGUAAAGCGUGCGUAGGCGGAAUGUUAAGUCAUUUGUAAAAGAUCUCAGCCCAACUGAGUAAGGCGAAUGAAACUGGCAAUCUUGAAUACGGUAGAGGUAAGUGGAAUUCCAUGUGUAGCGGUGGAAUGCGUAGAUAUAUGGAGGAACACCAAUGGCGAAGGCAGCUUAGUGGGCCGGAAUUGACGGUGAGGCACGAAAGCGUGGGGAGCAAACAGGAUUAGAUACCGUGGUAGUC
Molecule: ribosomal RNA, 467 nt
Filed under: uncultured bacterium
Lineage: Bacteria
Description: bacterial SSU rRNA
Rfam family: Bacterial small subunit ribosomal RNA
Source: RNAcentral